AGGAAGUAACAUUGAAUCGUGCACUCAAAGGAAUGUAAGCGAGAUUAUCGGCAACCACGCUGGCGAUGCUAGCGGGCUAUAUGCUAAUAGCAGACUCGGGAAGUCAAAAUAGA
Long non-coding RNA from Sinocyclocheilus rhinocerous, 113 nucleotides. RefSeq lists it as uncharacterized. NCBI's taxonomy places the organism in Eukaryota, Metazoa, Chordata, Actinopteri, Cypriniformes, Cyprinidae. The transcript has 3 exons. The record is from RefSeq and is a predicted model, not a curated record.